RNAcentral lists this ribosomal RNA (1381 nucleotides) under uncultured bacterium. RNAcentral's name for it is "bacterial SSU rRNA". It matches the Rfam family "Bacterial small subunit ribosomal RNA", at positions 28 to 1365 of the family's 1533-position model. The record is from RNAcentral.
GAUGAACGCCGGCGGUGUGCCUAAUACAUGCAAGUCGUACGCACUGGCCCAACUGAUCGAUGGUGCUUGCACCUGAUUGACGUUGGAUCACCAGUGAGUGGCGGACGGGUGAGUAACACGUAGGUAACCUGCCCCGGAGUCGGGGGAUAACAUUUGGAAACAGAUGCUAAUACCGCAUAACAACAAAAGCCACAUGACUUUUGUUUGAAAGAUGGCUUUAGCUAUCACUCUGGGAUGGACCUGCGGUGCAUUAGCUAGUUGGUAAGGUAACGGCUUACCAAGGCGAUGAUGCAUAGCCGAGUUGAGAGACUGAUCGGCCACAAUGGAACUGAGACACGGUCCAUACUCCUACGGGAGGCAGCAGUAGGGAAUCUUCCACAAUGGGCGCAAGCCUGAUGGAGCAACACCGCGUGAGUGAAGAAGGGUUUCGGCUCGUAAAGCUCUGUUGUUGGAGAAGAACGUGCGUGAGAGUAACUGUUCACGCAUUGACGGUAUCCAACCACAAAGUCACGGCUAACUACGUGCCAGCAGCCGCGGUAAUACGUAGGUGGCAGGGGUUUUCGGGAUUUAUUGGGCGUAAAGCGAGCGCAGGCGGUUGUUUAGGUCUGAUGUGAAAGCCUUCGGCUUAACCGAAGAAGUGCAUCGGAAACCGGGCGACUUGAGUGCAGAAGAGGACAGUGGAACUCCAUGUGUAGCGGUGGAAUGCGUAGAUAUAUGGAAGAACACCAGUGGCGAAGGCGGCUGUCUGGUCUGCAACUGACGCUGAGGCUCGAAAGCAUGGGUAGCGAACAGGAUUAGAUACCCUGGUAGUCCAUGCCGUAAACGAUGAGUGCUAGGUGUUGGAGGGUUUCCGCCCUUCAGUGCCGGAGCUAACGCAUUAAGCACUCCGCCUGGGGAGUACGACCGCAAGGUUGAAACUCAAAGGAAUUGACGGGGGCCCGCACAAGCGGUGGAGCAUGUGGUUUAAUUCGAAGCUACGCGAAGAACCUUACCAGGUCUUGACAUCUUGCGCUAACCUUAGAGAUAAGGCGUUCCCUUCGGGGACGCAAUGACAGGUGGUGCAUGGUCGUCGUCAGCUCGUGUCGUGAGAUGUUGGGUUAAGUCCCGCAACGAGCGCAACCCUUGUUACUAGUUGCCAGCAUUAAGUUGGGCACUCUAGUGAGACUGCCGGUGACAAACCGGAGGAAGGUGGGGACGACGUCAGAUCAUCAUGCCCCUUAUGACCUGGGCUACACACGUGCUACAAUGGACGGUACAACGAGUUGCAAACUCGCGAGAGCAAGCUAAUCUCUUAAAGCCGUUCUCAGUUCGGACUGUAGGCUGCAACUCGCCUACACGAAGUCGGAAGGGCUAGUAAUCGCGGAUCAGCAUGCCGCGGUGA